GNUGGCGAGUGGCGAACGGGUGAGUAAUUCAUCGGAACGUGUCCUGUAGUGGGGGAUAGCCCGGCGAAAGCCGGAUUAAUACCGCAUACGCUCUACGGAGGAAAGGGGGGGAUCUUAGGACCUCCCGCUACAGGGGCGGCCGAUGGCAGAUUAGCUAGUUGGGGGGGUAAAGGCCUACCAAGGCGACGAUCUGNCCUGGNCNGACUCUNNACCAGCCACACUGGGACUGAGACACGGCCCAGACUCNUACGGGAGGCAGCAGUGGGGAAUUUUGGACAAUGGGCGAAAGCCUGAUCCAGCAAUGCNNNNNNNGUGAAGAAGGCCUUCGGGUUGUAAAGCACUUUUGUCCGGAAAGAAAACCUCCGCCCUAAUAUGGUGGGGGGAUGACGGUACCGGAAGAAUAAGCACCGGCUAACUACGUGCCAGCAGCCGCGGUAAUACGUAGGGUGCAAGCGUUAAUCGGAAUUACUGGGCGUAAAGCGUGCGCAGGCGGUCCGCUAAGACAGAUGUGAAAUCCCCGGGCUUAACCUGGGAACUGCAUUUGUGACUGGCGGGCUAGAGUAUGGCAGAGGGGGGUAGAAUUCCACGUGUAGCAGUGAAAUGCGUAGAGAUGUGGAGGAAUACCGAUGGCGAAGGCAGCCCCCUGGGCCAAUACUGACGCUCAUGCACGAAAGCGUGGGGAGCAAACAGGAUUAGAUACCCUGGUAGUCCACGCCCUAAACGAUGUCAACUAGUUGUUGGGGAUUCAUUUCCUNAGUAACGUAGCUAACGCGUGAAGUUGACCGCCUGGGGAGUACGGUCGCNAGAUUAAAACUCAAAGGAAUUGACGGGGACCCGCANNAGCGNNNGAUGAUGUGGNUUAAUUCGAUGCAACGCGAAAAACCUUACCUACCCUUGACAUGNAUGGNACCCUGCUGAGAGNUGGGGNUGCCCGAAGGNAGCCAUAACACAGGUGCUGCNUGGCUGNCGNCNGCUNNUGUCGUGGNNANNNUGGGUUAAGUCCCGCANNAGCNNCAANCCNUNNUCCCUAGUUG
RNAcentral lists this ribosomal RNA (1034 nucleotides) under Paraburkholderia sp. Its description in RNAcentral is "partial 16S ribosomal RNA". It matches the Rfam family "Bacterial small subunit ribosomal RNA", at positions 87 to 1117 of the family's 1533-position model. The record is from RNAcentral. Lineage: Bacteria; Pseudomonadati; Pseudomonadota; Betaproteobacteria; Burkholderiales; Burkholderiaceae.